This 514-nucleotide long non-coding RNA is filed under the name Elaeis guineensis (African oil palm). RNAcentral describes it as "long non-coding RNA (EGUI_LNC074040)". Lineage: Eukaryota; Viridiplantae; Streptophyta; Magnoliopsida; Arecales; Arecaceae. The record is from RNAcentral.
GGCCCAUCAAAUUGCUUCUUCAGUAACCAGCUCAACAAAACCAUGCCAGCAAAUUAGCAUCAGAUACCCUUCCAUUCACAAUAGCAAAAGGACUCCACUAUUAGAUUCCAAAGCAUAUUCUAUUGUGCUCACAUUGAAUGUCCCAACAGUAAAAGAAGUAUCACAUGACUCUACUGUACUCAUAAAAUGCCCUCUAUGCAAAAAACAAAAUAAAAGUGGCUACGCAUUUCAAUAAAAGAUGUAGGCGGCCAUGCAUUCCAAUAAAAGGUGCUUUAACAAAACCCAAAAGGAUCCUUACCAGUUGAAGCUAUCUACCAUGCCUGAAGAUGCCGCUUUGAUCCACCACAAAAGUCAACCACAAAAGAUAUCGAAAGAUGCCAUCCAAGCCAUCCUUUCCAUCACAAAUUGUCGGCCAUGCCUGUCCAAAAGAAGAUUCAAAGCUCUCUAUAAAUGGACCAGAAGAGGAAGAAGAGAGGUAGAACUACCUUUAAUAUUUCUUCUGUUGCUCUUUGGA